Molecule: unclassified non-coding RNA, 416 nt
Filed under: Hevea brasiliensis (rubber tree)
Lineage: Eukaryota; Viridiplantae; Streptophyta; Magnoliopsida; Malpighiales; Euphorbiaceae
Source: RNAcentral
GGUGAGAAUGUUUGGGUCAACGUUGAUACCUUGAUGACAAAUGACGUUAGUGGCCCAGGUUCCAUUGGAAUCUUCAAAAGAGAGUUUGGCGAUAAUGCUAAGGUUUGGGACCGUGAGAAAAUUGUCAUUAUACCGGAUCAUUAUAUAUUCACUACUGAUGAACGUGCAAACCGAAAUGUGGAUAUGUUGAGGGAUUUCUUCCUGGAGCAAAAUAUAAAGUACUUCUAUGAUAUCAAGGAUCUUAGUAACUUUAAGGUUAAUCCUGAUUAUAAAGGUGUAUGCCAUGUUGCACUUGCCCAAGAAGGUCAUUGUAGGCCAGGCGAGGUCCUGUUAGGUACAGACUCUCACACUUGCACCGCUGGAGCAUUUGGCCAAUUUGCUACUGGAAUUGGCAACACUGAUGCUGGCUUUGUAUU